RNAcentral lists this ribosomal RNA (696 nucleotides) under uncultured bacterium. Its description in RNAcentral is "bacterial SSU rRNA". It matches the Rfam family "Bacterial small subunit ribosomal RNA", at positions 32 to 715 of the family's 1533-position model. The record is from RNAcentral.
AACGCUAGCUACAGGCUUAACACAUGCAAGUCGAGGGGAAACGACAUCGAAAGCUUGCUUUUGAUGGGCGUCGACCGGCGCACGGGUGAGUAACGCGUAUCCAACCUGCCCACCACUUAAGGAUAACCUUGCGAAAGUAAGACUAAUACCCAAUGAUAUCUCUAGAAGGCAUCUGAAAGAGAUUAAAGAUUUAUCGGUGAUGGAUGGGGAUGCGUCUGAUUAGCUUGUUGGCGGGGUAACGGCCCACCAAGGCAACGAUCAGUAGGGGUUCUGAGAGGAAGGUCCCCCACAUUGGAACUGAGACACGGUCCAAACUCCUACGGGAGGCAGCAGUGAGGAAUAUUGGUCAAUGGACGAGAGUCUGUACCAGCCAAGUAGCGUGCAGGAUGACGGCCCUAUGGGUUGUAAACUGCUUUUAUAAGGGAAUAAAGUGAGAGUCGUGACUCUUUUUGCAUGUACCUUAUGAAUAAGGACCGGCUAAUUCCGUGCCAGCAGCCGCGGUAAUACGGAAGGUCCGGGCGUUAUCCGGAUUUAUUGGGUUUAAAGGGAGCGUAGGCCGGAGAUUAAGCGUGUUGUGAAAUGUAGACGCUCAACGUCUGCACUGCAGCGCGAACUGGUUUCCUUGAGUACGCACAAAGUGGGCGGAAUUCGUGGUGUAGCGGUGAAAUGCUUAGAUAUCACGAAGAACUCCGAUUG